UACGGAGGGUGCUAGCGUUGUUCGGAAUCACUGGGCGUAAAGCGCGUGUAGGCGGCCCAUUAAGUCUGAUGUGAAAGCCCGGGGCUCACCCCCGGAAGUGCAUUGGAGACUGAUUGGCUCGAGUCCCGGAGAGGAGGGUGGAAUUCCUGGUGUAGCGGUGAAAUGCGUAGAUAUCAGGAGGAACACCGGUGGCGAAGGCGGCCCUCUGGACGGUGACUGACGCUGAGACGCGAAAGCGUGGGGAGCAAACAGG
Molecule: ribosomal RNA, 253 nt
Filed under: uncultured bacterium
Lineage: Bacteria
Description: partial 16S ribosomal RNA
Rfam family: Bacterial small subunit ribosomal RNA
Source: RNAcentral